UUCCGGUUGAUCCCGCCGGACCUGACUGCUAUCGGAUUGAUACUAAGCCAUGCGAGUCUUUGUAGUAAUACAAGGCAGACGGCUCAGUAACACGUAGUCAACCUACCCUAUGGACGAGAAUAAUCUCGGGAAACUGAGCAUAAUUCUCGAUAGAUCAUAAUGCCUGGAAUGGUUUAUGGUUAAAAUGAUUCGUCGCCAUAGGAUGGGACUGCGGCCUAUCAGCUUGUUGGUGAGGUAAUGGCCCACCAAGGCGAUUACAGGUACGGGCUCUGAGAGGAGAAGCCCGGAGAUGGGUACUGAGACACGGACCCAGGCCCUAUGGGGCGCAGCAGGCGAGAAAACUUUGCAAUGUGCGAAAGCACGACAAGGUUAAUCCGAGUGAUUUCUGCUAAAGAAAUCUUUUACCAGUCAUAAAACCACUGGUGAAUAAGGGGUGGGCAAGUUCUGGUGUCAGCCGCCGCGGUAAAACCAGCACCUCAAGUGGUCAGGAUGAUUAUUGGGCCUAAAGCAUCCGUAGCCGGCUUUGUUAGUUUUCGGUUAAAUCCAUGUGCUCAACGCAUGGGCUGCCGAAAAUACUGCAGGGCUAGGGAGUGGGAGAGGUAGACGGUACUCAGUAGGAAGGGGUAAAAUCCUUUGAUCUAUUGAUGACCACCUGUGGCGAAGGCGGUCUACCAGAACACGUUCGACGGUGAGGGAUGAAAGCUGGGGGAGCAAACCGGAUUAGAUACCCGGGUAGUCCCAGCUGUAAACGAUGCAGACUCGAUGAUGCAUUGGCAUAUAGCCAGUGCAGUGUCGCAGGGAAGCCGUUAAGUCUGCCGCCUGGGAAGUACGUACGCAAGUAUGAAACUUAAAGGAAUUGGCGGGGGAGCACCACAAGGGGUGAAGCCUGCGGUUCAAUUGGAUUCAACGCCGG
RNAcentral lists this ribosomal RNA (913 nucleotides) under uncultured marine archaeon. RNAcentral describes it as "bacterial SSU rRNA". It matches the Rfam family "Archaeal small subunit ribosomal RNA", at positions 1 to 921 of the family's 1478-position model. The record is from RNAcentral.